AAAAGCGAAAGGUCACUCACUCAUCACGAAAUCUCCGAAACUAUAACACCUACAAACUUGAAAUUUGGCAAGUAGGCUCCUUAUAAGACGUAAGCAUCCGCUAAGAACGGAUUUUACGAAACUCGACCCCUAAGGGGGUAAAACGGGGGGUGGAAGUUUGUAUGAAAGUCCUAUGUUUUUGAAGUAAGAGACUUGAAAUUUAAAAUGUAAGCUCUAUAGAUGGU
Molecule: unclassified non-coding RNA, 224 nt
Filed under: Melitaea cinxia (Glanville fritillary)
Lineage: Eukaryota; Metazoa; Arthropoda; Insecta; Lepidoptera; Nymphalidae
Description: misc RNA ENSMCXG00005009253.1
Source: RNAcentral